This 382-nucleotide ribosomal RNA is filed under the name uncultured eukaryote. RNAcentral describes it as "partial 18S ribosomal RNA". It matches the Rfam family "Eukaryotic small subunit ribosomal RNA", at positions 592 to 976 of the family's 1831-position model. The record is from RNAcentral.
CAAUAGCGUAUAUUAAAGUUGUUGCAGUUAAAAAGCUCGUAGUUGGAUUUCUGGUUGAAGCGACCGGUCGGGCGUUGAUUCGUCUGCACUGGAGUCGGUUUUGGCCAUCCUCUAGGAAAGUGCGUCUGGUAUUAAGUUAUCGGGCGUAUGAUCCUGGUCUUUUACUGUGAAAAAAUUAGAGUGUUUAAAGCAGGCCUUCGCCCUGAAUACAUUAGCAUGGAAUAAUAAGAUAGGACUUUGGUCUAUUUUGUUGGUUUGCAGACCGAAGUAAUGAUUAAUAGGGAUAGUUGGGGGUAUUUAUAUUCCGAUGUCAGAGGUGAAAUUCUUAGAUUUUCGGAAGAUAAACUUAUGCGAAAGCAUUUACCAAGGAUGUUUUCAUUAA